AUGGAUAACUUCAGAAUGUACAUUGCGACAGCGGUCUUGCUUGGCUUCUCGCUGCAGGUUGUCAGCUGCAGCUGUCAUGACAGCGAGUAUCCCGCUGCGACGGGCGUGUGCUGUCGAUACCCUAAACAAGGAUGGUUUAUUUCUAAAAACUGCACAUCGGAGAAUGGUAUAGAGGCAUCACCCUGCAAGAACUGCACAGGUCUUAAGAUAGCAAACUGCACAUACUUCUCCGACACUCAAUGUGAAGACGACAGGAAAAACCAGUCCUCCAUUUCAACACAGAAAGCAGAUGAAUUUGUGGUCCUCAUCAUUCCUUCUGUGGUGAUUACUUUGGUCUUAUCUGUUGCCUUACUGUGUGGACUCUGCAUUCAUUUGAAAUGCAGGAAUCCUAAAAGACUUUAUGAUCUCCAUGUUUCAAAAACAAUGCAAGAUGCCUGAUGUGAUGCCCUAACAAAUCAUGGGAACACAUGUGGUCCCCGAAACUCAUCAUAAGUCAAAAAUAUAGUAAGUUGAAAAUGCAUUUAAUACAUCUAAUACACACCUCUGCAUGACAGACUGGUAGAUGCAGAUUGCUGCUGCUGCUGCCCAGCAUUGUGAGAGAGUAUCGCACUACAUAUCGCUUGCAGUGGGGGGAAAAAAAAUCAAAAGUCAAAAUUUGCAGUAGUUUCUGCUGAAUGUCUGUCGCCAGCUCACCAUCGUAAAGUCGAAAAAAUCGUAACUCAAACCAUCUUAAAUCGUGGACCACCUGUACUGGAUCCAAAUUCAAGUAUUAUCUUGAGAGUGGUUCCCCCAGCUGCCAGUACAGUUAAUUUUUACUGAGACACAAGGAUCAUUUGUCAUCGUAUAUGAAAAACAUAAAUGGUCAGACUAAAUGUAUAGAUGUGUUUGCAUCUUUUUAUACUUUUAUUAUGUAAUAAUUGUUUGUGAAGUUAGUCACAAUUAGUUGUUUUUGACAAAAAAACUUUACACUUACAGCAACUUGCUGUACAGCUAUGGGUGUUGCAAGCCCCUCACCCAGCAGAAUAUUUGUAAAGCCUUUAAUUUUUGAAAGGCACUAAAGAAGCUAAGUAGUUUAACUAAACUAAAGUUAAAUGUAGUUAAUAAAAGCUAAAAAAGUUUAAAGGUUUAAAGAAGG
Molecule: long non-coding RNA, 1135 nt
Filed under: Scleropages formosus (Asian bonytongue)
Lineage: Eukaryota; Metazoa; Chordata; Actinopteri; Osteoglossiformes; Osteoglossidae
Description: lncRNA (ENSSFOG00015031303.1)
Source: RNAcentral